This 269-nucleotide ribosomal RNA is filed under the name uncultured prokaryote. RNAcentral describes it as "partial 16S ribosomal RNA". It matches the Rfam family "Bacterial small subunit ribosomal RNA", at positions 524 to 792 of the family's 1533-position model. The record is from RNAcentral.
UACGUAGGGGGCGAGCGUUAUCCGGAUUUAUUGGGCGUAAAGGGAGCGCAGGCGGUGACUUAAGUCUGAUGUGAAAGCCCACGGCUCAACCGCGGAAGGUCAUUGGAAACUGGGUCACUUGAAUAUAGAAGAGGAAAGUGGAAUUCCAUGUGUAGCGGUGAAAUGCGUAGAUAUAUGGAGGAACACCAGUGGCGAAGGCGACUUUCUGGUCUAUUAUUGACGCUGAGGCUCGAAAGCAUGGGUAGCAAACAGGAUUAGAUACCCUGGUA